AUUGAACGCUGGCGGCAUGCCUUACACAUGCAAGUCGAACGGCAGCACGGGAGCAAUCCUGGUGGCGAGUGGCGAACGGGUGAGUAAAGUAUCGGAACGUGCCCAGUCGUGGGGGAUAACGUAGCGAAAGUUACGCUAAUACCGCAUACGAUCUAUGGAUGAAAGCGGGGGAUCGCAAGACCUCGCGCGAUUGGAGCGGCCGAUAUCAGAUUAGGUAGUUGGUGGGGUAAAGGCUCACCAAGCCGACGAUCUGUAGCUGGUCUGAGAGGACGAGCAGCCACACUGGGACUGAGACACGGCCCAGACGCCUACGGGAGGCAGCAGUGGGGAAUAUUGGACAAUGGGCGAAAGCCUGAUCCAGCCAUGCCGCGUGCAGGAUGAAGGCCUUCGGGUUGUAAACUGCUUUUGUACGGAACGAAAAGGUUUGGCCUAAUAAGCUGAGCUCAUGACGGUACCGUAAGAAUAAGCACCAGCUAACUACGUGCCAGCCGCCGCAGUAA
RNAcentral lists this ribosomal RNA (500 nucleotides) under uncultured bacterium. RNAcentral describes it as "partial 16S ribosomal RNA". It matches the Rfam family "Bacterial small subunit ribosomal RNA", at positions 30 to 523 of the family's 1533-position model. The record is from RNAcentral.